Molecule: ribosomal RNA, 460 nt
Filed under: uncultured bacterium
Lineage: Bacteria
Description: bacterial SSU rRNA
Rfam family: Bacterial small subunit ribosomal RNA
Source: RNAcentral
UUGCGGGAAGCAGCAGUGAGGAAUAUUGGUCAAUGGACGGAAGUCUGAACCAGCCAUCCCGCGUGCAGGAAGAAGGCGCUAUGCGUUGUAAACUGCUUUUCUGAGGGAAGAAAACCCCCGACGUGUCGGGGCUUGUCGGUACCUUGGGAAUAAGCAUCGGCUAACUCCGUGCCAGCAGCCGCGGUAAUACGGAGGAUGCGAGCGUUAUCCGGAUUUAUUGGGUUUAAAGGGUGCGUAGGCGGACCGAUAAGUCAGUGGUGAAAACCUGCAGCUUAACUGUAGACGUGCCAUUGAUACUGUCGGACUUGAGUGUGGUCAAGGUAGGCGGAAUGUGUAAUGUAGCGGUGAAAUGCUUAGAUAUUACACAGAACACCGAUUGCGAAGGCAGCUUGCUGGACCAUUACUGACGCUGAUGCACGAAAGCGUGGGGAGCGAACAGGAUUAGAUACCCCAGUAGUCG